UGGUUCGAUUGUCUAUUGAUC
Molecule: non-coding RNA, 21 nt
Filed under: Caenorhabditis elegans
Lineage: Eukaryota; Metazoa; Nematoda; Chromadorea; Rhabditida; Rhabditidae
Source: RNAcentral